AGAGUUUGAUCCUGGCUCAGAACGAACGCUGGCGGCAGGCCUAACACAUGCAAGUCGAACGGGGACCUUCGGGUCUUACGUGGCGCACGGGUGAGUAACGCGUGGGAAUCUACCCCAAAGUCGGGGAUAACCGCUGGAAACGGCGGCUAAUACCGGAUACGCCCUGAGGGGCAAAGCUUUUGCGCUUUGGGAGGAGCCCGCGUCCGAUUAGCUAGUUGGUGGGGUAAAGGCCUACCAAGGCUGCGAUCGGUAGCUGGUCUGAGAGGAUGAUCAGCCACACUGGGACUGAGACACGGCCCAGACUCCUACGGGAGGCAGCAGUGGGGAAUCUUGGACAAUGGGGGCAACCCUGAUCCAGCCAUGCCGCGUGGGUGAAGAAGGCCUUAGGGUUGUAAAGCCCUUUCGGCGGGGAAGAUGAUGACGGUACCCGCAGAAGGAGCCCCGGCUAACUCCGUGCCAGCAGCCGCGGUAAUACGGAGGGGGCUAGCGUUGUUCGGAAUCACUGGGCGUAAAGGGCGCGUAGGCGGACCACCAAGUCAGGGGUGAAAGCCCUGGGCUCAACCUAGGAAGUGCCCUUGAAACUGAUGGUCUUGAGUCCGGGA
Molecule: ribosomal RNA, 602 nt
Filed under: uncultured bacterium
Lineage: Bacteria
Description: bacterial SSU rRNA
Rfam family: Bacterial small subunit ribosomal RNA
Source: RNAcentral